Molecule: ribosomal RNA, 1486 nt
Filed under: bacterium
Lineage: Bacteria
Description: bacterial SSU rRNA
Rfam family: Bacterial small subunit ribosomal RNA
Source: RNAcentral
AAACUUGAGAGUUUGAUCAUGGCUCAGAACGUACGCUGGCGGCACGCCUAACACAUGCAAGUCGAACGCAGUAGCAAUACUGAGUGGCGAACGGGUGAGUAUAAUGUGGGUAUCUGCCUUUUGGUUUGGAAUAACACGAGGAAACUUGUGCUAAUACCGGAUAAGCCUUUACAGGGAAAGUUUUAUACGCCGAAAGAUGAGCCCGCACUUGAUUAGCUAGUUGGUAAGGUAAAAGCUUACCAAGGCUACGAUCAAUAGCUGAUCUGAGAGGAUGAUCAGCCACAUUGGGACUGAGACACGGCCCAAACUCCUACGGGAGGCAGCAGUGGGGAAUCUUGCACAAUGGGGGAAACCCUGAUGCAGCGAUGCCGCGUGAGUGAAGAAGGCCUUUGGGUUGUAAAGCUCUUUCGUCGGGGAAGAAAAUGACUGUACCCGAAUAAGAAGGUCCGGCUAACUUCGUGCCAGCAGCCGCGGUAAUACGAAGGGACCUAGCGUAGUUCGGAAUUACUGGGCUUAAAGAGUACGUAGGUGGUUAAAAAAGUUGGUGGUGAAAUCCCAAGGCUUAACCUUGGAACUGCCAUCAAAACUUUUUAACUAGAGUAUGAUAGAGGUAAGUGGAAUUUCUAGUGUAGAGGUGAAAUUCGUAGAUAUUAGAAAGAACUCCGAUUGCGAAGGCAGCUUUCUGGAUCAUUACUGACACUGAGGUACGAAAGCAUGGGUAGCGAAGAGGAUUAGAUACCCUCGUAGUCCAUGCUGUAAACGAUGUGUGCUAGACGUUGGAAAUUUAAUUUUCAGUGUCGCAGCAAAAGCGUUAAGCACACCGCCUGGGGAGUACGACCGCAAGGUUAAAACUCAAAUGAAUUGACGGGGACCCGCACAAGCAGUGGAGCAUGUGGUUUAAUUCGAAGAUACGCGCAGAACCUUACCAACACUUGACAUGUUCGUCGCGACUCUAAGAGAUUAGAGUUUUCGGUUCGGCCGGACGAAACACAGGUGCUGCAUGGCUGUCGUCAGCUCGUGUCGUGAGAUGUUGGGUUAAGUCCCGCAACGAGCGCAACCCCUACUUUUAGUUGCUACCAUUUAGUUGGGCACUCUAAAGGAACUGCCAGUGAUAAGCUGGAGGAAGGUGGGGAUGACGUCAAGUCCUCAUGGCCCUUACGUGUUGGGCUACACACGUGCUACAAUGGUACUUACAACGAGAUGCUAAGAGGCGACUCUAAGCCAAUCUCAAAAAGGUACCUCAGUUCGGAUUGCACUCUGCAACUCGAGUGCAUGAAGCUGGAAUUGCUAGUAAUCGCGGAUCAGCGUGCCGCGGUGAAUACGUUCCCGGGUCUUGUACACACCGCCCGUCACACCAUGGAAGUUGGUUACACCUUAAGGCAAAAUGCUAACCCUCGGGAAGCAUUUGACUACGGUACGAUCAGCGACUGGGGUGAAGUCGUAACAAGGUAGCCGUAGGGGAACCUGCGGCUGGAUCACCUCCUUU